UGCUAAAAGUUUCAUUCAUUUCCACUUUUUAAAAUUAGUGUACUUGACGAAUAACCAAGCAGUUACACAUGACAUGCCACAUGUAUCUCAUCUGACAUAUAGGGACAUGUUUUUAAAAGCAGAAAUAGAUGAAAAUUUUAAUA
This 143-nucleotide microRNA precursor is filed under the name Gossypium barbadense (sea-island cotton). Its description in RNAcentral is "MIR7502 microRNA precursor family". It matches the Rfam family "MIR7502 microRNA precursor family". The record is from Rfam by way of RNAcentral. RNAcentral also lists the same sequence under 2 other names. Lineage: Eukaryota; Viridiplantae; Streptophyta; Magnoliopsida; Malvales; Malvaceae.